GCCGCGGGCUACUUAACGGAGGGCCGUCCCCAGCUCUCAGCUUACCCGGUUACGAAACGCCUGAGAAGGUGGACGGCUGCCACGGGUGAUGUAUGCGCCGCGGCGGCGAAGGAGAUUAGUUGAAUACUUUCAGAGAAAGAAAUGAAACCAUAUGACAGACGUUGUCUAAUGAUAGAAACUAUCAAGGGAUGGGACCACAAAGGAUCGUAGAAAUCAAGGAACCCGCUCCUUUGCUUCCCAUUUACAAAACCUGAGAACCAGGCAGGCACUUUGCUGGAAUCUCAGAAUACAGAGAUGGAAGACGUAGCCCACGACUUUGAGGAGCUUAUCAUCCCAGGUGCAGAGAGAGAAGCAAGAACAGGCAGAUGGGAGCUGC
Molecule: long non-coding RNA, 376 nt
Organism: Manis javanica (Malayan pangolin)
Lineage: Eukaryota; Metazoa; Chordata; Mammalia; Pholidota; Manidae
Source: RefSeq, a predicted model, not a curated record